AUGUCCGGCCCUGACCUACGAGGCCGGUGGAUGCCCUCCUCCGUCACGGAAGAGGACGUGCUAAAGCUGAGAGACGCCAGGUACUUAACCUACGAGAUUUCGCAUAGGCUUCCUGCCCGAGGGCAAGUUAUGCCGACUCCCGAGCUUGGCGAGAGCGUCGUGUUCGUGUCUCACCUCCGUCGGGGUUUAGGCUUCCCGACGGAUCCCUUCGUGAGGGGGCUCAUGUUUUACUAUGGGCUGGAAUUCUAUGACUUGGCUCCGGAGUCCAUCCUCCACAUCUCAUCAUUCAUUGUCGUCUGUGAAGCCUUCCUCCGCACUACCCCUCACUUCGGCUUGUGGCUCAAAACCUUCAAUGUGGAGCCGAAGAUGAUUGAGGGGCGUCACGUAGAGUGCGGCGGGGCGGUUAUAAGCAAGAGGGCCGAUGCUCCAUGGCCCGCGGGCUCUUUUCAGGAGGAGCUCGGCUUGUGGCAACAGGAGUGGUUCUAUAUCACUGCUCCCAGGGGCAGCAGGCAGAGGCCGCCGCCCGUCUUCCGCUCGGGCCCUCCACAACAGCUGACGUCAUGGGUCAACAAGGGGCGUGACUGGGGGCCGUCCAAAGACGUACCCCUGUUGCAGGACUGGAUUCGAGGCCUCCAAGAAAGGGAGAUCAAUUUGGUCGCAGUGGUACAAGUUAUGUUGAUCCGGCGCCUACUGCCCUGCAAACGUUGCCCCCUCCGCCUGUGGGAAUUUAAUCCGGAGGGGCCAUGA
RNAcentral lists this ribosomal RNA (747 nucleotides) under Triticum aestivum (bread wheat). RNAcentral describes it as "partial small subunit ribosomal RNA". The record is from RNAcentral. Lineage: Eukaryota; Viridiplantae; Streptophyta; Magnoliopsida; Poales; Poaceae.